This is an RNA transcript of Daphnia magna, 1709 nucleotides long. It is a transcript of the gene named protein C3orf33 homolog, with no coding region annotated. Lineage: Eukaryota; Metazoa; Arthropoda; Branchiopoda; Diplostraca; Daphniidae. The transcript has 5 exons. The record is from RefSeq and is a predicted model, not a curated record.
GAACAUUUAAUAACCUUUCUGUUGUACGUUUCACGUUGUCGGCUAGUGCCAUCUAGACAGUAUUGAUCAUAACUAAAAAAGUAAAUAAACAAUUUGUUGCUGACAAAAUAAGAUACAGUAAACAACAUGAAGAAACCCACCGAUUUGGAAUCAAGGAUUCUCGAAAUACUUGACAACAACAUUAGAUUAAUUCAGUAUUCGGUGUACGCCGUUGGUUUGAUUGGUUUGGCAGUCAUUGCUAGAAGUACGCAUAUCUUUAGUAAGUUUACAUCAACCAAAAGUGUUCCAAGAGAAUUCAUUAGGAAAGCAGUGAAGUUGCAGGGGAAAGUAAAUGGCAUUGAAUACUAUCAGCUUCCUCUUCAACAAGUAGAAGGAUGUCAUCCAAACUAUGCACUCAGAUUUAAUAUUGAGCAUAUCCCAAUUGCAAGACUAUUGCCAUGGAGAAACAAAAAGGUUGUGGAGAAAUCCUUCUUGUUGAACAUUGAAUUGGUUGGAGUACACCUGACUACUCUUGAAGGAGUAGAUAAUGUAAUUAAGCUUCCCCUAGAGUCAAAUCCUACAAUUUGGUUUAGGCUAUAUGGUUUGAACUGCGAGACAGAUCACAUGUAUGCUUCUAUUUUCUUAAAAAGGACAUGGUGGAAACUCUGGAGUGAGAAAGAUCUUGCCUUAAUUAUUCUCAAACAGAACAAAGGAAUAGUUUCCCCAUAUUUACCUAACAGCCAGCAAAUCUACUUUAACGAGAAAUAUCCUGCAUAUUACAGGAAGUUAUUGUACUGUGAAAUCAAGUACAGGAAAUUAUAAUUGAAACAGUGUAAGAGAAAUUAAAGUUUUCACUGAGAAAACCAAAACUACUUUAGCACUUACUGCGCUUCAUCACCUUUCAUAAAGCAGUACUAGUAGAACCCUUUCGAAAUUCAAGCAGUGCCUUAAGGUCAUCUAUCUGUUUUUGAACUGCCCUUCGACUUGUUCCACCCGUGACUUGAUACUGCUCUACGCUAUGCUCGUAAUUCCAGAUGUUCGUAACGGAUGGAUCAUCAAAUACUGAGCUGAAAUUGCGUAAUAAGAUUACUAGAGCAUGUAACAUUAGUUGCCACGUGUAAAUGAUGAUACAAAACCUGAUGGACUGCAAAUCUUCAAGAGUUAAUGCUGCGAUAUCUUUAUGCUGGUUCUCGGCCUUUGCUACAAUCUUUCCAACGGUUGCGUGAGCAUCGCGAAAAGGCACCUGCAUGUGCAGUAAACCGUUUUAUGCAUGUCGUGUGCAUUAAAAUCGUGUUUAUAUUUACGCCUCUUCGCACCAGAUGGUGGGGAAAAAAAUUAGCCAACGUUUCCAGUAAGCGGCUUGCGAGAAAAGUGUACAUUUUUUGUACUUUUAAAGUGGAAAGAAUCCCAGCAGCGACUUGAAGAGUACAGAAUAAAUUGUCCACGACAUCAAACAGAGCCUCUUUAUCCUCUUGUAAGUCCUUGUUGUAGGCAGAAGGUAAUCCUUUUAGGACCAUAGAGAAACCUGCCAUCUGAGAAAGAAUUUCAAACUUGUAGACUAGACUUGUGGUAAUCUUAUCAGGUAAUCAUCUACCUGUCCAAAUAUUCUCCCAGCUUUAGCUCGAAUCAGUUCUAAUCCAUCUGGAUUUCUUUUUUGUGGCAUUAAACUGCUUCCUGUACUAUAAGCGUCGGCUGUGAAUGAACAAAACGAAUAAAUUUCAAAACAAUCA